This is a small nuclear RNA of Loxodonta africana (African savanna elephant), 106 nucleotides long. The record is from Ensembl. NCBI's taxonomy places the organism in Eukaryota, Metazoa, Chordata, Mammalia, Proboscidea, Elephantidae.
GUGCUCGCUUCAGGAGCUCAUGUAUCAAAAUUAAACGGUACAGAGAUGGUUAGCAUAGCCCCUGCGGAAGGAUGAUACACAAAUUCGCAAAGCGUUCCAUACUUUU